UACGUAGGUGGCAAGCGUUGUCCGGAAUUAUUGGGCGUAAAGCGCGCGCAGGCGGUCUCUUAAGUCUGAUGUGAAAGCCCACGGCUCAACCGUGGAGGGUCAUUGGAAACUGGGGGACUUGAGUACUGGAGAGGAGAGUGGAAUUCCAUGUGUAGCGGUGAAAUGCGUAGAUAUAUGGAGGAACACCAGUGGCGAAGGCGGCUCUCGGGCCAGUAACUGACGCUGAGGCGCGAAAGCGUGGGGAGCAAACAGG
Molecule: ribosomal RNA, 253 nt
Filed under: uncultured bacterium
Lineage: Bacteria
Description: partial 16S ribosomal RNA
Rfam family: Bacterial small subunit ribosomal RNA
Source: RNAcentral